Molecule: long non-coding RNA, 3255 nt
Organism: Cyprinus carpio carpio
Lineage: Eukaryota; Metazoa; Chordata; Actinopteri; Cypriniformes; Cyprinidae
Source: Ensembl
AUGAGAAAGGAAGAGAGUGAGAGAGAGAAGCAGGAAAAGAGAGAAGAAAAGAAAUUGUUGUUGGUUUCGGGGAGAGUGAGGGGCAGUCGAGCAGUGAUGCGGCGGGAAGCACCGGUAUCAUGGAGUUCUCAGUAUUCAGAGGAGAGAGCCAUGGCUCUCCAGGACAUGACAAGAACAAAAUCCAUCAGGUGGCCCAUGGAAUUUGCCCUAAUUGGUUUUUACAGUCAUACCUUGUUUAAUAUAAUUGGACUGUCAUAUAAGGGUUGUCCUGGCUGUUAUGCUGGGCUAUUUUUACCCUGUUUAUUGUAAGUCAAUUCAGUUCCUGGAAGAUCCCUUUAAUGCCCUGACUUGCAUGUCCAAUAUUAUUAGGUGCUAUGAGUUCAGCUUGUGCAAAUCGCUUAAUGCAUAAGUCGGUAAGAGGCUCUGUGCUGGCAGGUCAGACUGAAGGUACAGCAGAUUAAUAUUUGAUCAUGCAGGAGGGUUUGUAAUCACAGCUGAUUGAUCCUUCAGCUGAGUGCCCUGGCAAUUAUCAUAAUUGUUGUCCACCGUACCGGCUUCUCUUUCUCUCUCUCUCUCUCUCUCUCUCUCUCUCGCAUGUCUCCCUCUCUCUCCUCGUAGCGUGGGCCGCAGGUUGAGUCUGUGAGACAGGAAUUCCUGUACAGUGUGUCUUUGAGUGAAUAAUGCAGGAGAAUUGUGGGAGAGAGGUUGGAUGAGGAUCAUCAGAGGCGAGGUUUCCCUCUCUUGGGUGACAUUGUGUGUGUGUGUGUGUGUGUGAGUGUUUGUGUCUGCAGGGGCAGUGGGACGUGGUUUGCUUGUGUUAGUGUUUCCGAGGACACACACACGCUGUAUUAUGGCAGUGUUCAGAGUUAAUCCCCACUCAGCCACGCUCCACGCUCACACUGCGAGACGGCGUGUAACACACAAACACGCAGGAAAAAGACAGAACACUGUCUCUAUUAACACAAGGCUCUUUUAUCAAGAUCUAUGGAUCAAUCUUUCUCUCUGGUUGACUUGUUUUUCGAGUGAUUUUACUAACUGAUGCUGAAUUGCCUUAUGGUCCAUAACCUGUAAUAAUAAAGCUUGUAUAUCAUUUCAGAAAUGAGUGUUGAAAGAGUCCAGCCUUUAUUGUGUUUGAAUUCAUCACAUAAAGCUGUGCUUGUAUCCUGCCUUUAUUUUACCAAAUAUUUUCAUUCAUUUGUGUAACUUCUGGAUUUUUACACAAUGGUGUGAAUUUGAUUUCUUUCUUUUAAAGGCCUCUUUGUUUAAGUGGAAAAAUACCAAACUGGUUUCUAGCUUGUCUGCCUUUGAAGCUGAGGGGUAUACGUGCCACUGAAUGUGUGAGGCAGCCAGUGCUGUGCCACACUGUGUGGGGGUACUUCCUGUGCCAUGUUUUGUGGAGGUACUUUUUUUUUUUUUUCAAAGUGAAGAGGCAGGAAGAGGUUUUCUAUGCCAGUACACUCCCUGUGAAAGGAUCAGCGGAGGAGAUGUGACCAGUUCUGAGGUAUGAACCGCUCCGUUUGUCCCUGUGUGAGCUUCCUUAGGGCAUAAUUACUUUUGGUAAAAGACGACUGAGCGAAGUUGACUGAUCAAGUUUUGCUGAAAAAGGUCAACGGCGCACAUGCGCACGUGGACUGUGUACAUGCAGGGCCUUGUAGAGGACUGUUCUGAUGGCUUGCAAUAAUUUGACUAGGCAUUUCUGUAGUUUUUCUCGUAUAUAUUUAUGAAGUUUAUAUUUUUUAUACGUUUUAUACAAUUUUAUGAAUGUUUAUAUUUUAUACAUUUUAUAUAGUUUUUUUAAUUAUUUUAUUCAGCAAGGAUGCAUUGAUUGAAUUAGAUCAAAAGAGACAGUGAAGACAUUUAUAAUAUUACAAACUGUCCUCAUCACUGAUAAUAAAAAAUGUUUCUGCAGCAAAUCAGCAUAUUAGAAUGAUUUCUGAAGGAUCAUGUGACACUGAAGACUGGAGUAAUGAUUGCUGAAAAUUCAGCUUUAUGAUUUUAAUAAAUCGUAUUGUAAUACAUGUACAGUAUGUGUAUAUAAAACAUUUAAUUGUAAUACUUCACAGUAUUUUCAAUUGUUUCACAAUAUGAGUUUUUACUGUGUUUUUGAUCAAAUAAAUGCCGCCUUGCUGAGCAUAAGUUAGCAUAACAAUUUUAUUAUUAUUAUUAUUUUAUUAUUUUUUAUUUUUAUUUUUUGCCAGUAUUUAGCUUUGUCAAAGUGUAAAUAUUCAACCUCAUGUAAUUUCACUCAUUUAUAAAACAUGUUGGAAUUUGGAGACAAAUCAGUUGGUACAUGUAUGCCAUUAAAAAAAAUAAAACAAGCUUUUCUUCUCAGUCUUGUUUCGAAUUCUCAUUGUCUUGUCUUCUCUGAUGAAGUUAUGCCGUGUCAGACCAUUUGUCAUAAAACAUGUCUUUAGGAAAAGUCAGUCUGCGAGCUGCUCUCCCUGAGAGAGAGUCAUCUAUCUAUACACACACACACACACACACACACACACACACGGGAUGCAGGACACACUGGGAGAUGGGCUACCAUUAAUCUGCUGUGACUGGGGGAAAUUGUGUCUUUGUAAUGAGUAUUAGGUGUGCAUCUACAUGAAUUAAAGCUAAAUGAGUGUCUGAUUGAUCACCAGUAUUAAAUGACACAGAGCAGAGCAUCAUUAUGCUUUAACAGUGACUGUAUCAUAUCGGGAUGAUUAACACACUCGGCCUGUCUGAAGAACAUGUUUAUGUAAACAAAAGAGAAGUGUGUCUUGCGGAAGCUUUUUUGCCUGCUUUUUUAAAGGCAUUGUAGUGGUGUGUUUUUCAUAAUAUGUGUUAAAUCCUCUUGUGAAUCAUUUUGUUUAUGUGCGUGUGCUGAUCUCUGAAACACAGCAUGAUUAGUAGCACCCCAGAUGUGCUGAUUCCAGCUGUUUAUUUCAAUUCACUCACAGUAUUUAUGUUUAUAUUUCGGCUUAGUGUUAAACUAAUUGAAUUUUACCUAGAAACAAUACCUCUAAGUCUGCUAAGGAUACUCCAUUUUUCUAGUAAAACAUUAUGAUUACGACCAUUCAAAUAUUUAGGGUCAGUAUGAUUUAAAACAUGAAAUAAAUAAAUACAUGCAAAGAUUUAAGUUGAUCAAAAGUGACGGUGUUAUUUUAAACAUUCUUUUCAGCAAAGAAUCCUGAAAAAUGCAUCAUGGUUUCACAAAAAUAUUAACUUUUUAUAUUGAUAAUAAUAAAUGUUACUUUAACACUGAAUCAGAACAUUAGAAUUAUUUCU